RNAcentral lists this ribosomal RNA (293 nucleotides) under uncultured bacterium. RNAcentral's name for it is "partial 16S ribosomal RNA". It matches the Rfam family "Bacterial small subunit ribosomal RNA", at positions 505 to 796 of the family's 1533-position model. The record is from RNAcentral.
GUGCCAGCAGCCGCGGUAAUACGUAGGAGGCGAGCGUUGUCCGGAGUUACUGGGCGUAAAGGGUGCGCAGGCGGCGGUUCGCGUGGCGAGAUGAAAUCUCCUGGCUUACCUGGGAGGAUGGUCGCCAGACGGGAUCGCUUGAGGGUCGGAGAGGGGCGUGGAAUUCCGGGUGGAGCGGUGAAAUGCGUAGAGAUCCGGAGGAACACCGACGGCGUAGGCAGCGCCCUGGACGACACCUGACGCUGAGGCACGAAAGCUGGGGGAGCGAACAGGAUUAGAUACCCUGGUAGUCC